Molecule: unclassified non-coding RNA, 117 nt
Organism: Papio anubis (olive baboon)
Lineage: Eukaryota; Metazoa; Chordata; Mammalia; Primates; Cercopithecidae
Rfam family: Metazoan signal recognition particle RNA
About the family: The signal recognition particle (SRP) is a universally conserved ribonucleoprotein.
Source: Ensembl
GCCGGGCACGGUGGCUCAUGCCUGUAAUCCCAGCACUUUGGGAGGCUGAGGCAGGUGGAUCACUUGAGGUCAGGAGUUUGAGACCAGCCUGACCAAUAUGGUGAAAUCCUGUCUCUA